RNAcentral lists this transfer RNA (70 nucleotides) under Hanseniaspora uvarum. RNAcentral's name for it is "tRNA-Cys". It matches the Rfam family "tRNA". From Rfam's summary of the family: Transfer RNA (tRNA) molecules are approximately 80 nucleotides in length. Their secondary structure includes four short double-helical elements and three loops (D, anti-codon, and T loops). The record is from RNAcentral. Lineage: Eukaryota; Fungi; Ascomycota; Saccharomycetes; Saccharomycodales; Saccharomycodaceae.
AGUGAAGUAAUCAAGGUGAUAUAUUAAUUUGCAAAAUUAAUCUAGAUGGUUCGACUCUAUCACUUCAUUA